UACAGAGGGUGCGAGCGUUGUUCGGAUUCAUUGGGCGUAAAGGGUGUGUAGGUGGCGCGCUAAGUCGGGUGUGAAAUUUCGGAGCUUAACUCCGAAACUGCAUUCGAUACUGGCGUGCUUGAGGACUGGAGAGGAGACUGGAAUUCAUGGUGUAGCAGUGAAAUGCGUAGAGAUCAUGAGGAAGACCAGUGGCGAAGGCGGGUCUCUGGACAGUUCCUGACACUGAGGCACGAAGGCCAGGGGAGCAAACGGG
This 253-nucleotide ribosomal RNA is filed under the name uncultured bacterium. Its description in RNAcentral is "partial 16S ribosomal RNA". It matches the Rfam family "Bacterial small subunit ribosomal RNA", at positions 524 to 776 of the family's 1533-position model. The record is from RNAcentral.